Molecule: ribosomal RNA, 408 nt
Filed under: uncultured bacterium
Lineage: Bacteria
Description: bacterial SSU rRNA
Rfam family: Bacterial small subunit ribosomal RNA
Source: RNAcentral
UGUCAGCAGCCGCGGUAAUACGAAGGGACCUAGCGUAGUUCGGAAUUACUGGGCGUAAAGCGCGCGUAGGCCGUUGAGUUAGUUAAUUGUGAAAUCCCAAAGCUUAACUUUGGAACUGCAAUUAAAACUGCUCGACUAGAGUUUGAUAGAGGAAAGCGGAAUACAUAGUGUAGAGGUGAAAUUCGUAGAUAUUAUGUAGAACACCAGUUGCGAAGGCGGCUUUCUGGAUCAACACUGACGCUGAGGCGCGAAAGUAUGGGUAGCAAAGAGGAUUAGAUACCCUCGUAGUCCAUACCAUAAACGAUGAUUGCUAGAUGUUGGAAAUUUAUUUUCAGUAUCGCAGCUAACGCAUUAAGCAAUCCGCCUGGGGAGUACGACCGCAAGGUUAAAACUCAAAUGAAUUGACGG